UGGGGAAUUUUGGACAAUGGGCGAAAGCCUGAUCCAGCCAUGCCGCGUGCAGGAUGAAGGCCUUCGGGUUGUAAACUGCUUUUGUACGGAACGAAAAAGUCUUCUCUAAUACAGGGGGCGAAUGACGGUACCGUAAGAAUAAGCACCGGCUAACUACGUGCCAGCAGCCGCGGUAAUACGUAGGGUGCGAGCGUUAAUCGGAAUUACUGGGCGUAAAGCGUGCGCAGGCGGUUAUAUAAGACAGAUGUGAAAUCCCCGGGCUCAACCUGGGAACUGCAUUAGUGACUGUAUAGCUAGAGUGCGGCAGAGGGGGAUGGAAUUCCGCGUGUAGCAGUGAAAUGCGUAGAUAUGCGGAGGAACACCGAUGGCGAAGGCAAUCCCCUGGGCCUGCACUGACGCUCAUGCACGAAAGCGUGGGGAGCAAACAGG
RNAcentral lists this ribosomal RNA (429 nucleotides) under uncultured Simplicispira sp. RNAcentral's name for it is "bacterial SSU rRNA". It matches the Rfam family "Bacterial small subunit ribosomal RNA", at positions 355 to 776 of the family's 1533-position model. The record is from RNAcentral. Lineage: Bacteria; Pseudomonadati; Pseudomonadota; Betaproteobacteria; Burkholderiales; Comamonadaceae.